UUGUGAACUACUAUGUGUCAUGAACUACUAUCUCUCCUCCUCGAUUUGGUUGUGAACUACUAUGUGUCAUGAACUACUAUCUCUCCUCCUCGAUUUGGUUGUGAACUACUAUGUGUCAUGAACUACUAUCUCUCCUCCUCGAUUUGGUUGUGAUCUACUAUGUGUCAUGAAGUACUAUGUAUUAUGAAUUAGUAUGUGUCGUGAUCUACUAUGUGUCGUGAAGUACUAUGUGUCGUGAACUACCAUGUGUCACAGUUCUUUGCUUGCUAUGUGUCGUGAACUACUAUCUCUCCUCAUCGGAAUAUGUGUGCAUGUGCCAAAAAAUUUGCUAAGUACAGGUG
RNAcentral lists this long non-coding RNA (341 nucleotides) under Triticum aestivum (bread wheat). RNAcentral describes it as "long non-coding RNA (TAES_LNC005139)". The record is from RNAcentral. Lineage: Eukaryota; Viridiplantae; Streptophyta; Magnoliopsida; Poales; Poaceae.